Molecule: ribosomal RNA, 460 nt
Filed under: uncultured bacterium
Lineage: Bacteria
Description: partial 16S ribosomal RNA
Rfam family: Bacterial small subunit ribosomal RNA
Source: RNAcentral
CCUACGGGCGGCAGCAGUGAGGAAUAUUGGUCAAUGGACGAGAGUCUGAACCAGCCAAGUAGCGUGAAGGAUGACGGCCCUAUGGGUUGUAAACUUCUUUUGUAUGGGAAUAAAACGUUCCACGUGUGGGAUUUUGUAUGUACCCUAUGAAUAAGGAUCGGCUAACUCCGUGCCAGCAGCCGCGGUAAUACGGAGGAUCCGAGCGUUAUCCGGAUUUAUUGGGUUUAAAGGGAGCGUAGGCGGAUAGUUAAGUCAGGUGUGAAAGUUUGCGGCUCAACCGUAAAAGUGCAGUUGAAACUGGCAGUCUUGAGUGCAGGAGAGGUAGGCGGAAUUCGUGGUGUAGCGGUGAAAUGCUUAGAUAUCACGAAGAACUCCGAUUGCGAAGGCAGUUCACUGGACUGCAACUGACACUGAGGCUCGAAAGUGUGGGUAUCAAACAGGAUUAGAUACCCCUGUAGUC